RNAcentral lists this ribosomal RNA (819 nucleotides) under uncultured bacterium. Its description in RNAcentral is "bacterial SSU rRNA". It matches the Rfam family "Bacterial small subunit ribosomal RNA", at positions 614 to 1433 of the family's 1533-position model. The record is from RNAcentral.
CCANUGUAGGCUUUGGAAACUGUUUAACUUGAGUGCAGAAGGGGAGAGUGGAAUUCCAUGUGUAGCGGUGAAAUGCGUAGAUAUAUGGAGGAACACCGGUGGCGAAAGCGGCUCUCUGNUCUGUAACUGACGCUGAGGCUCGAAAGCGUGGGGAGCGAACAGGAUUAGAUACCCUGGUAGUNCACGCCGUAAACGAUGAGUGCUAGGUGUUAGGUCCUUUCCGGGACUUAGUGCCGCAGCUAACGCAUUAAGCACUCCGCCUGGGGAGUACGACCGCAAGGUUGAAACUCAAAGGAAUUGACGGGGGCCCGCACAGGCGGUGGAGCAUGUGGUUUAAUUCGAAGCAACGCGAAGAACCUUACCAGGUCUUGACAUCCCGAUGCCCGCUCUAGAGAUAGAGCUUUACUUCGGUACAUCGGUGACAGGUGGUGCAUGGUUGUCGUCAGCUCGUGUCGUGAGAUGUUGGGUUAAGUCCCGCAACGAGCGCAACCCUUAUUGUUAGUUGCCAUCAUUCAGUUGGGCACUCUAGCGAGACUGCCGGUAAUAAACCGGAGGAAGGUGGGGAUGACGUCAAAUCAUCAUGCCCCUUAUGACCUGGGCUACACACGUGCUACAAUGGCUGGUACAACGAGUCGCAAGCCGGUGACGGCAAGCUAAUCUCUGAAAGCCAGUCUCAGUUCGGAUUGUAGGCUGCAACUCGCCUACAUGAAGUCGGAAUCGCUAGUAAUCGCGGAUCAGCACGCCGCGGUGAAUACGUUCCCGGGCCUUGUACACACCGCCCGUCACACCACGAGAGUUUGUAACACCCGAAGUCGGUGA